Long non-coding RNA from Tupaia belangeri chinensis (Chinese tree shrew), 499 nucleotides. RefSeq lists it as uncharacterized. The record is from RefSeq and is a predicted model, not a curated record. The transcript has 3 exons. NCBI's taxonomy places the organism in Eukaryota, Metazoa, Chordata, Mammalia, Scandentia, Tupaiidae.
AGCCAUUAAUUCAUCAACAUUUGUCAGCUGUCGUAUUGUCAUCUAAUAAUGAAAAUAGGAAUUUUAUAAAUCAUCUAAGAUUGCAGAUGUGUGUACAGCUGCACCAGAGGAUUCUGGCUGCCCCAGGAACUGAAUCCAAGUCUUCCAUAUGGCUUCCAGUCUCCUAGAAAAAGUGGUGCUGUCUGCCACCAACAGUCGAGCCCAGCAAAAAACAAGAGCCAGAUCACUGUCACCAAAGAAAAGGGGUGAAGUGUACACUAUCCAGAGCAAAUCUCCACUCUUUCAUGCCCUUUGUCAAUGCAACGCAAAAAAGCUAUGACUUGCUUGACUAGCACCGAGGAUUAUGUCCAUGUAAGAAUUCAACAAAGGAACAGUGGAAGCCCCUUACUGCUAUCCUAGGGAUGGCUGAUGGGUAUGCAAAAAAGAAACCUGUAAAGGUGAUUAAAACAAAAAUUCCAUACUAUACUUGAGCCUGAAGAAUAUGGAGAAGUAAUUCAGC